Molecule: unclassified non-coding RNA, 233 nt
Filed under: uncultured fungus
Lineage: Eukaryota; Fungi
Description: partial contains 18S rRNA, ITS1, 5.8S rRNA, ITS2 and 28S rRNA
Source: RNAcentral
AAGGAUCAUUACCGAGUUAGGGUCUUCAAGGCCCGACCUCCAACCCUUUGUCUACCAUACCUCAUGUUGCUUCGGCGGGCCCGUCCUUAUGGACCGCCGGAGGGUUUUAACUACUCUCUGGCCCGUUGCCUGUCGAUAGCCCCCCAAAUCAAAACUCUUGUUAAGAAUCGUGUCGUCUGAAGCAAACAAACAAAAAUAAAUAAAAACUUUCAACAACGGAUCUCUUGGUUCUG